RNAcentral lists this ribosomal RNA (253 nucleotides) under uncultured bacterium. RNAcentral describes it as "partial 16S ribosomal RNA". It matches the Rfam family "Bacterial small subunit ribosomal RNA", at positions 524 to 776 of the family's 1533-position model. The record is from RNAcentral.
GACAGAGGGUGCAAACGUUGUUCGGAAUUACUGGGCGUAAAGCGCGUGUAGGCUGCUCUGCAAGUCGGAUGUGAAAGCCCUGGGCUCAACCUAGGAAGUGCACUCGAAACUGCAGAGCUUGAGUCCUGGAGAGGAAGGCGGAAUUCUCGGUGUAGAGGUGAAAUUCGUAGAUAUCGAGAGGAACACCGGUGGCGAAGGCGGCCAACUGGACAGAUACUGACGCUGAGACACGAAAGCGUGGGGAGCAAACAGG